UACGGAAGGGGCAAGCGUUGUUCGGAAUCAUUGGGCGUAAAGGGUGCGUAGGCGGCGCGGUAAGUCGGGUGUGAAAUCUCGGAGCUUAACUCCGAAACUGCAUUCGAUACUGCCGUGCUGGAGGACUGGAGAGGAGACUGGAAUUUACGGUGUAGCGGUGAAAUGCGUAGAUAUCGUAAGGAAGACCAGUGGCGAAGGCGGGUCUCUGGACAGUUCCUGACGCUGAGGCACGAAGGCCAGGGGAGCAAACGGG
Molecule: ribosomal RNA, 253 nt
Filed under: uncultured bacterium
Lineage: Bacteria
Description: partial 16S ribosomal RNA
Rfam family: Bacterial small subunit ribosomal RNA
Source: RNAcentral